Molecule: ribosomal RNA, 253 nt
Filed under: uncultured bacterium
Lineage: Bacteria
Description: partial 16S ribosomal RNA
Rfam family: Bacterial small subunit ribosomal RNA
Source: RNAcentral
UACGUAGGGUGCGAGCGUUGUCCGGAAUUAUUGGGCGUAAAGGGCUCGUAGGCGGUUUGUCGCGUCGGGAGUGAAAACCUCGGGCUUAACUCGGGGCUUGCUUUCGAUACGGGCAGACUAGAGGUAGGCAGGGGAGAGCGGAACUCCUGGUGUAGCGGUGGAAUGCGCAGAUAUCAGGAAGAACACCGGUGGCGAAGGCGGCUCUCUGGGCCUUACCUGACGCUGAGGAGCGAAAGCGUGGGUAGCGAACAGG